Camelus dromedarius (Arabian camel) is the source of this 1372-nucleotide long non-coding RNA. RefSeq lists it as uncharacterized. The transcript is spliced from 3 exons. NCBI's taxonomy places the organism in Eukaryota, Metazoa, Chordata, Mammalia, Artiodactyla, Camelidae. The record is from RefSeq and is a predicted model, not a curated record.
UUUGCUUUUCUACAAUCUCAUCCACACAGAGUCAGAGGGAGCCUAUAAAAGCAUACAUUGAGGGGGUGGGUGUAGCUCAGUGAUACAGUGCAUGCUUAGCAUGCAUGAGAUCCUGGGUUCAAACCACAGCACCUUCACUAAAAUAAAUAAAUUAAACUCCUCCCAAGAAAACCCAAAACAAAAGCAUAAAUUGGACAUCACCCAUCCCAUCAAAACUCACUAAAAGGGUCACCAUUCCAUUAGGAGCCAAAGUCGUCCCAAAGUCUUCCAGGACCCGGCCUGCUCUGCCUCUCCGCCCACACUCUCCCCAUCACUCUGGGGGCCUCUGGCUCCGGCUCUUCCUUCUUCCUCCGGAUCUAUUCUGCUUCAAGUUCAUUACUCCGUGAGAUCUGCCAGGAUUGCCUUAUUCCCUCCUGCCUGCCUCCCACCCCACCACCAUCACCUGAGUUUGCUCAUAUCACUCUUAUUUUUCCCCAAGCUCUUGCUACCCCCAUCAUGUUGCCUGUUUUCUCUGCUAAAACUCUGAGCCCCCAGUGAUGGGGAGUCGUGUCUAUUUUGUUGACUAAUAAAGCCCAAGAGCCUUGGGAACGGGUAUAGUUACUAGAUUCCCAUAAGUAGUAGGAGCUUAUACAGAUUUGCUGAAUGAAUGCAGAGGUCCUGGUCCAAUUCGAUGGAGCACUUCUGUGUCCUGCUCAAAGAUUAACUCUCCUUUCCUCCUGAGAGGGGGUGACCACUUCCUUGGUGAUCAAAGGCAAGAUCUAUUUUCUUUAUGCUGUUAACCUUAGGCGGGGAGACUGGGGGAUCUUCAUUUAUAUUUUAAAAUUUGAUUCACUCUGCAGUUUGUCUCCUGUCUAUGUAUCCUUUUGAGAAACCGUUUAUGAGUGAUCAUUCUUCCAUCAGAUUGAACAGGAUCCAGGGGGAAGUACCAAGCCUGUCCCAUCGGCCAUCCUGUGUGUCAUGUCCUGUGACCCAGUGGAUGCUCAGCAUCCUCCAGCUGAAGAAACAGAUUGCCUUAGGUACAUGAAAGGUGAGGACACCUACUAUCCCCAUGGAGCCCAGUUGGGCCUGGGAGUCUGCUGUUUGUACAGCCGGUGGGCUCGUGUUGCUUUGGGCAUCCCUGUGCCUGAAUUCCUGCAGUACACUCGGUGCCUGUUUCCUAAUCUGCAAAACUGGAAUGAUGUUAACCAUCCCGCAGGUUUGUUGAUGGGCUGGGACACACUAGACAGCCAGGAGCUGGAAUUCCUCUGUGCCCUGAUUGUUAUCCUUCCUUCACACUAUUUACUCUCACAAGUUCAGUCUCUCUGUCUCUCUCUCAUUCACUUGUAACUUUCUCUCCUGCUCUGGUUUCAUUUGAUUCCCACCCUCCUCCCAA